UGAUUUAAUUUAUUUAUUAAAUAUAUUAUUUGAAUUAAGUUAUUAUAAAUAUUAAAAAUAAUUGAAAAUUAAGUGUUUUUAUUAUGAUAAAGAAAAAAGUAUAAAAUUUAUAGUUUAAUAUUAUUGUGUAAGAAUUUAUUAUUUAAUUUAGUUAAAAAAAAUUAUUAUAAAUGUAUUUUGGGUAUCAAAGUUUAUUAAUAUUAUAAAUAUAAGUUAUAUUUAUCUCGAAAUUAAAUGAUUUAAUUAUAUUUUAAUUUUAAUGUGAAAUAAUUAUUUUUUAAUUAUAAUUAGUAAUGAAAAGUUAAUCGUAUUUUAUAAUAUCUAGUUUUUUAAUAAAAAAAUUUAAUUUUAUUAUUUAUUUUUAAAUUAUCUAUUUAAUUUAUAGUUAAUUUAAAUAAAUAAUUUAUAUUUUAAGGGAUAAGCUUUAAAAUAAAAUUUAAUAUAUUGUAUGAAUUAAUUUAAAAAUAAUAUAAUUAAAAUUUUUAAUUUAGUAAAAAUUGUAAUUAAUUUUUUUAUUUAUUUAUUUAUUUUAAUUUAUAAUUUAAAAUUUUAUUAAAAAUAUUAAUUUAAUAAUUAAAUUAAUGAUAUAAUGAUAAAAUUAGUAUAUUUUUUUAUAAAAUUGUUAAUUUUAUAAUACUUAAGAUUAAAUAAUUCGGCAAAAUUAAAUUUCAACUGUUUAACAAAAACAUUUCUUUUUGAUAAUUUUUAAAAAGUAAAAUCUGCCCACUGAUUAAUAAUUGAAGGGCUGCAGUAAUUUAACUGUACAAAGGUAGCAUAAUCAAUAGUUUUUUAAUUGAAAACUUGUAUGAAUGAUUAAAUGAAAAUUUAACUGUUUUAAUUUUAGAAUUAGAAUUUUAUUUUUUAGUUAAAAAGCUAAAGUUUAUAUAAUAGACAAGAAGACCCUAUAAAUUUUAAAAUAUUUUAAUUUAUUGAGUUUAAUUUAAAUUAUUUUUGAUUGGGGUAAUUAUAAAAUUAAAUUAAUUUUUAUACAUUAAAAUCAUAAAUUUAUGAAUUUUAGAUUUUUAAGUUUAUAUUAAUAAAAUAAAAUACUUUAGGGAUAACAGCUUAAUUUUAAUUUAAAGAUCUUAUUUGAAUUAAAGUUUGUGACCUCGAUGUUGGAUUAAAUAUAAUUUAAAUGUAAAAGUUUAAAUGAUUAGUCUGUUCGACUAUUAAAAAUUUACAUGAUCUGAGUUCAAAUCGGUGUGAGCCAGAUUGGUUUCUAUCUUUAGUUAAAAUAUUGAUAAUAGUACGAAAGGAGUUUAUUAAUUAAAUUAAUUUAUUAUAAUUGAAUAAAAUU
This 1297-nucleotide ribosomal RNA is filed under the name Abaria herringbona. RNAcentral's name for it is "16S ribosomal RNA". The record is from RNAcentral. Lineage: Eukaryota; Metazoa; Arthropoda; Insecta; Trichoptera; Xiphocentronidae.